AUGCUACAACUGGCAUCUUAUUUUGCUGGAACCGGCAUAGCACCAUGCUACAACCGACGUCUCAUUUUGCUACAAUGCACUGCCGGCAUCGCAUUUUUGCUACAUCCGCAUUGCAUUUUUGCUACAACCGGCGUCCCUUUUUGCUACAAUCGAUGGCAGUGUAGUUUUGUUGUCGGACGACGGCAAAUGCCUGCAACUGGAGUCCAUGAAGCUGCAACCCUGCAACUCAUCCGAGAAAAAGCUACGACCAACAAUGAAAAAGCUACCACUGGCGGACUGAUAUGCUACAACCAACGGGCGAUGAACUUGUAG
RNAcentral lists this ribosomal RNA (312 nucleotides) under Triticum aestivum (bread wheat). Its description in RNAcentral is "partial small subunit ribosomal RNA". Lineage: Eukaryota; Viridiplantae; Streptophyta; Magnoliopsida; Poales; Poaceae. The record is from RNAcentral.